RNAcentral lists this long non-coding RNA (2426 nucleotides) under Mus spretus (western wild mouse). RNAcentral's name for it is "lncRNA (ENSMSPG00010049780.1)". The record is from RNAcentral. Lineage: Eukaryota; Metazoa; Chordata; Mammalia; Rodentia; Muridae.
GAGAGCUGCAGUCAUCUGCUGCGGGUCUUUUAUUACGUGGCAAGUUUAGAAUAACAUUUUCAAAACAUACAACUUCAAACAUCUAAGUUCUCAUGAGAUGAUACUUGGAUCUCGAGUGCAUCUGUGUGUUUCCCAGAGGCCCGGGCGGGACUCCUGGCCACUGGAUGGUAUGCUCUGCCUUCAGAACGGCUCUUUCCACCGUUCUGAAAUGCCCUCCCUCAUAGACACCUCAGGUGUGUUUCUCUGCUGACUCUAAAUCCAGUCAACUUGUCAAAGAUUAACCAUCAGAGGAGCAGGCUCUUCGGUGGAGACCUUUUGGGAGGAGGCCCUACCGACCGGAGGAUGGCAGCUGCGUGGCUGCCCUGCAACAAUGGACAGAACCAACUUCUACUUUGUUUGCAAGGCACAGAUCCAAAAGAACAAUGAAUGGUGGGACACGCUCCUUGCCCCACAAGAAUCUGUGUGUCCUUUGUAACUCCUUUAGAGCAGGGCAGGGCAGGAUGUGUGAGGCGCCAGGAUCGAAUUUCUGCUCCAGCCAUGUUCCUGAAUCCCAGCCAGCAGACAGGAAAGAAGACAGGUAGCAACAUAUACCAACAUAUUCAGGAGCAUAUUCCUACGUGUAGGCGUGGCAAAUAUACACAACCAGCUGCAGCGUAACCAUCUUAAGUGUGCUAAAUUUAGCAUGUCCUCUGGACUUAAACAUGUUCACCUUGCUAUGCAAACAUUACCAGCAUCAUAUCUAGAGUCCUUUUUAAUCCUCUUAUAGUGGCCAUUCCUGAUUGUCAACUUGACUAUAUCUGGAAUGAACUACAAUCCAGAAUUGGAGGGUUCACCUGUGAUCCAGAUCUUGAGGCUGGAAGACACAAGUUUCUGACCUGGAUCUUGGUAUGGAGAUCUUGAGGCAUAGUGGUCAUGAAAAGCUUAGGCCCAGGCAAAGCAGUAUACUCCUUUAAUCCCAGGAGACUGAGGCAUGAAGAUCUCUGAGUUCAAGGUCAGUCUGGGGCAAAGCAAGUUCCAGGUCCAGGUAUAGUGGUACACACCUUUAAUCUGGGCCACACCUUCUGCUGGAGACCUAUAUAAAGACAUUGGAAGAAGGAAGAGUUACUCUCUCUUCUUCGCCUGCUUGUCUUGUGGACUGAACAACUACUAGACACUUGGACUUCCAUUCACAGCUGCUGCUGACCAUUGUUGGUGAGUUGGACUACAGAUUGUAAGUCAUCAACAAAUUCCCUUACUAUAUAGAGACUACCCAUAAAAGUUCUGUGACUCUAGAGGACCCUGACUAACACACCUCUCAAACAGAAACUCCGGUAAACAAUUACUCUCUCUUCAGCCCCUGACAGCUACUCUACCUUCUGUUCUUGGGAAUCUGACUACUCUAAAUCCAUGAAUGGAGUCCUGCCAACAUUUGUCGAUGACUGGUCCUAUUCAUGGUAGUUCAUGAAUAUCAUGAUAUCGGUGUCCAUUUGUUAUCUGGGCCAGGAUUCCCUUUGCCAGGCUGAGUACUAUUCCAUUGUGUGUGUGUGUGCACUUUCCCAUGCAUUUGCUGGUAGAUGGUUAGGUUGCUUCUUUGCUUUUUGCUUACGUGAAUAGUGCUACAGUGAACACGAACAUACAGAUGCCCUUUGUUCCCUCAGAAGCUUCAUAUUCUCAUGUGUAAUGCACAAGAGAGGACAUUUCUCCCCUUCUUACCGACCCUCGUUUUCUGGGUUGUUUUUGUUUGUUUGCUUAAAGAGUAGCCUCACGAUGAGUCUGGAAGGGCACCCCAUGGUGGUUCUCAUUUGUACUUCCCUAACAGAGUGUGAUAUGAGCAUUUUGCCCUGUGCCCGUUCAUCACUACUAGUUCAUAUUCCUGGAAAGAUAACUGUCCGUUCAAUUCACUUGUUCACGGUUUGAUUGAACCGUUCCGAAUGGUGUAGAAUGGACUUUAACUCCUAUCAGAUGGAUAAUUUGUACUGUGCUCUCUUUCCCAUUCUCUGAGUUGUCUUUUCCUUCUAUUGGUAAUACUGUUUGAUACACAGGUUUUUCUCAAUAUAAUCCAAUAGACUUUCCUGUGUCUGCUUUAGCAAGAUGUUCUUCCACCUGUGUGCCCCAGCAAAACAUCAUUUGACAUAACUAACUUUCCAAAGAAGCUAGAAGUUUCCAUUUCACAGGGAUCCUGCCCAGCUCCUCAGGGUGGCUACCUCACAAGCUGUGCAACCGGUUUAAUGUCUUCUGUCUUCUGUGCUUGGAAGACAGUCCUCACCUUUUCUAGCCACUCUCAUCUCAACCAUCACCUCACCUGGGAAGCCUUCCUUGCUCCUCCCCAGGGACUUAAACACGUUUUCUUUUGUUCCUUUGGGCAUUGCCAUCCAAGGACUUUGUUACUCUUUGCUUGUUUGUUUUUGUCUGUCUACUUUCCCAUUAAAGCUUGAGCUCUUUGUGUG